UGACGGUACCUGACUAAGAAGCCCCGGCUAACUACGUGCCAGCAGCCGCGGUAAUACGUAGGGGGCAAGCGUUAUCCGGAUUUACUGGGUGUAAAGGGAGCGUAGACGGCAAGGCAAGUCCGAUGUGAAAGCUCGCAGCUCAACUGCGGAACUGCAUUGGAAACUGUUUAGCUAGAGUACAGGAGGGGCAAGCGGAAUUCCUGGUGUAGCGGUGAAAUGCGUAGAUAUCAGGAGGAACACCGGUGGCGAAGGCGGCUUGCUGGACUGUAACUGAUGUUCAGGCUCGAAAGCGUGGGGAGCAAACAGGAUUAGAUACCCUG
RNAcentral lists this ribosomal RNA (320 nucleotides) under uncultured bacterium. Its description in RNAcentral is "bacterial SSU rRNA". It matches the Rfam family "Bacterial small subunit ribosomal RNA", at positions 470 to 789 of the family's 1533-position model. The record is from RNAcentral.